UACGUAGGCAGCGAGCGUUGUUCGGAGUUACUGGGCGUAAAGAGUGCGUAGGCGGUUUUCUAAGUUUGGUGUGAAAUCUCCCGGCUCAACUGGGAGGGUGCGCCGAAGACUGGAAGGCUUGAGUAUGGGAGAGGUAAGCGGAAUUCCUGGUGUAGCGGUGAAAUGCGUAGAUAUCAGGAGGAACACCUGCGGUGUAGACGGCUUACUGGACCAUAACUGACGCUGAGACGCGAAAGCGUGGGGAGCGAACCGG
This 253-nucleotide ribosomal RNA is filed under the name uncultured bacterium. Its description in RNAcentral is "partial 16S ribosomal RNA". It matches the Rfam family "Bacterial small subunit ribosomal RNA", at positions 524 to 776 of the family's 1533-position model. The record is from RNAcentral.